GGCCACCGUCAAUUGAUAUUGGAUCAAUUGAUAUUGGAGGCACUUCAACUAACACCACCCCGUGCUCUUCCCGAAGGCCAAGUCCACCAUCUUCAUCCUUUCCAAGCCCUAUUCCUUCCUAUCAACCAAGUCCAUCAUCCUCUUCCUUCCCCAGUCCGUCCCGACUUGAUGCUCACAUGUCAUCAAAUCCCUUUUCGUUCAUGCGUUACUCCAACCCAUCAUCUCUCCCACCUCUCCGGAUCUCAAACAGUGCCCCUGUAACCCCACCUCUUUCAUCAUCAACCACCCGAAUUUCUAUGCAAAAUUUCAAUUGGGAAUCCAUUGCCAAACAAUCAGCCUCCUUGAAUUUCCCCUUCUUAGCUGCUUCUGCCCCGACUAGUCCAACUCGUGGUCAACGCAUCACUCCAGCCCCCAUACCAGAAUGCGAUGAGUCUGACUCCUCCACUAUCGAUUCAGGCCAAUGGAUGAGCUUUCAAACGUAUGCACCCGCUAUGAGCCCAACCUCUCCAACUUUUAAUCUUGUGAAACCUGUGACUCAGAAUGUUUCUUCCAAGAAUGCAAUCUCAGAGAAAGGAAAAGGAAUAGAAUUUGAGUUUGAGAGCGUACCCGUGAAGGCCUGGGAAGGGGAAAGGAUUCAUGAGGUGGGAUUAGACGAUUUGGAGCUCACACUGGGUAGUGGGAAUACAAUGAUUUAGUUAGGGAACCAAUUGAAGGAUCUCAUGCGCUGCUCAAUCUACUUGGCAUAUAACUGCAUGUGGAGUUUCGUGGCAGUAUGCCAGUAUCUGUCCAUGGAAGAAUUUGGUUUUAGAUAAAAGGUUUCCAUUGCAAGAAGUUGAAGCUUGAACCAGAUUUGGUUUCUAAUAGGGAUUUGAUUUGCAGAUUUCACCCCAUUAGGUUUCGCAGCAUCAUUGUUCAGUACAAACCCCUGUUUAUAUUGUUGGGGGCUUUUCACAUGCAUUAAUGUAGAUAGUCGUUCUAUUUUACAUUGGUGUCAAGCAUCUUUAUCUCCAUUAUAGCUACUGGGAGAAAUAGUGCAAACUGUUUCAUGGAUUGAUGUUAUUAGGCAUUACUAGCUAUUUUCUCUUAUUGUUCAAAACCUUGCCAUCAGAUUUUUAAAGAUGCUAGCUUUUAAGAGGUGAAAUGUACUAGGGAUUGUUUGUAUUGUUCAUUAUUUGUCCAGAAAAGGUUUGCUUUCAUUGUUAGGGAGUGUAAUCUUUUUCUUCUUCUUUUUCCAUUCUCUUUCUGAUGAAUUAUUGAAAUAAUAUAUGGGGGAAAAACAAAAGUGAUAUGUACAAAUACAAAUUGAGCACUUAUUGUUUGUGUCCCCCUGCCAAAUGGAUUGAGAUAUAUACAUGUGUGUGUUAUAAUGUUGACUAAAUCUUGAAAGAGGGCCCAAAGCACAGAAAAAAUGGAAAAAG
RNAcentral lists this long non-coding RNA (1418 nucleotides) under Panax ginseng (ginseng). RNAcentral describes it as "long non-coding RNA (PGIN_LNC017333)". The record is from RNAcentral. Lineage: Eukaryota; Viridiplantae; Streptophyta; Magnoliopsida; Apiales; Araliaceae.